RNAcentral lists this ribosomal RNA (180 nucleotides) under uncultured bacterium. RNAcentral describes it as "partial 16S ribosomal RNA". It matches the Rfam family "Bacterial small subunit ribosomal RNA", at positions 1319 to 1500 of the family's 1533-position model. The record is from RNAcentral.
CAUGAAGCUGGAAUUGCUAGUAAUGGCAGGUCAGCAUACUGCCGUGAAUACGUUCCCGGGCCUUGUACACACCGCCCGUCACACCAUGAGAGUUGGGAAUACCCGAAGCCUGUGAGCUAACUUUUAGAGGCAGCAGUCGAAGGUAGAAUCAAUGAUUGGGUGAAGUCGUAACAAGGUACC